This 557-nucleotide ribosomal RNA is filed under the name uncultured bacterium. Its description in RNAcentral is "bacterial SSU rRNA". It matches the Rfam family "Bacterial small subunit ribosomal RNA", at positions 102 to 694 of the family's 1533-position model. The record is from RNAcentral.
ACGGGUGAGUAACGCGUGGGAAUCUACCGUACCCUACGGAAUAGCUCUGGGAAACUGGAAGUAAUACCGUAUACGCCCUAACGGGGAAAGAUUUAUCGGGGUAUGAUGAGCCCGCGUUGGAUUAGCUAGUUGGUGGGGUAAAGGCCUACCAAGGCGACGAUCCAUAGCUGGUCUGAGAGGAUGAUCAGCCACAUUGGGACUGAGACACGGCCCAAACUCCUACGGGAGGCAGCAGUGGGGAAUAUUGGACAAUGGGCGAAAGCCUGAUCCAGCCAUGCCGCGUGAGUGAUGAAGGUCUUAGGAUUGUAAAGCUCUUUCAACGGUGAAGAUAAUGACGGUAACCGUAGAAGAAGCCCCGGCUAACUUCGUGCCAGCAGCCGCGGUAAUACGAAGGGGGCUAGCGUUGUUCGGAAUUACUGGGCGUAAAGCGCACGUAGGCGGGUAUUUAAGUCAGGGGUGAAAUCCCGCAGCUCAACUGCGGAACUGCCUUUGAUACUGGGUAUCUUGAGUAUGGAAGAGGUAAGUGGAAUUGCGAGUGUAGAGGUGAAAUUCGUAGA